This 1536-nucleotide ribosomal RNA is filed under the name Triticum aestivum (bread wheat). RNAcentral's name for it is "partial small subunit ribosomal RNA". The record is from RNAcentral. Lineage: Eukaryota; Viridiplantae; Streptophyta; Magnoliopsida; Poales; Poaceae.
AUGGGGCCUCAGCCAGCUGCGCAUCCAGCAUCCAAUCUCACACUUCCCAGCUCACAUACCACAGCAAAACCCGGCGAAACCAUGCACCAAGAAAGGCCGCCCUUCUGUGCGAUCCGGACGAGCAAAGGUAACGAGGGCCUCGUGUCUCCCAAUCGACCGGCGAGACGCGCCAUGAUCCUGCUACUGGCCUUGCUGCUCAUUUCUGAUGGAGUUGGCACUGCCCACUGCUCGACAGUCUCCGGUAACAGCACGGACAUGCUCUCGCUGCUAGAUUUCAAGCGGGACAUCACCAAUGAUCCAAGGCAAGCCUUGGGCUCUUGGAACGCCAGCAUCCCCCAUUGCGAGUGGAAGGGCGUCAACUGCAGCCUCACGCACCCAGGGCGAGUUACUGUGCUAAACCUCACCGAGCAAGGGUUGUCAGGUUCGAUUUCCCCGUCCCUUGGGAACCUGACGUUCCUUGAGACACUGGACCUGUCCACAAAUAGCUUCACCGGCGAGCUGCCUCCUCUUGGACGUCUCCACAGACUGCAACAACUUUUGCUGAGUAAAAACUCUUUGCAAGGGAUCAUUCCAGCUACACUUACAAAUUGUUCCAACCUAAGUUACUUAGACCUAUACGGUAACUUCCUGACAGGUGAAAUUCCACUCAGUAUAGGCUUGCUCUCCAACCUGUUGUGGUUACAGCUUUCAGAAAAUAAUAUCACCGGAACGAUCCCACCAAGCCUGAAAAACAUCAGCCAGUUAGAAGCAAUCGAUCUUGCAGAUAAUCAACUCAUGGGUAGCAUUCCCCAUGAGAUAGGACAAUUUCCAAGUAUGAUGGGUUUGGUACUCGGUGGUAAUAUGCUAUCAGGUAGAAUCCCAACAACCGUGCUUAACCAGUCUUAUCUACAAAUUUUAGACUUAAGUACCAAUAUGAUAGGGAGCACAUUGCCGUCUGAUUUUGGUGAUACCCCCCCAAGUCUCACAUUGCUCUACUUGGACUAUAACAUGUUUGAAGGUUAUAUCCCAGCUUCUCUGGGUAAUACUUCAGGGCUAUCAGUGUUGGACCUAUCAUAUAACAAAUUGACAGGUCAAGUUCCAAGUUCUCUUGGUAGGCUUGGAAUGUUGAACAAUCUAAACCUUCAGAAUAAUAAACUUGAAGCAAAGGAUAUUCAAAGCUGGGAAUUCAUAGAUACGUUGAGCAAUUGCAGAUCUCUGCAAGUUCUUGCACUAGGUAAAAAUCAGUUAAAAGGAGCUAUCCCAAGUUCUAUUGGUAACCUGUCAAGCAAACUUCAAGGACUAGGAUUAGAUGCAAACGACUUGUCAGGGACAAUACCCACUAACAUAGGUAAUCUUAGCGGCUUAACAACACUGGCUUUACGUGAAAACAAGCUCCACGGAUCCAUUGAAGGAUGGGUUCGAAAUCUGAGGAAUCUAACGGUUUUAGCUCUUGACGGGAAUAACUUCACUGGCCCAAUACCAACCUCUAUCAGUAAUCUUGCAAGACUGAAGAAGCUCUAUCUAGCAAACAAUGAAUUUGAAGGUCCAAUACCUUAA